This 73-nucleotide transfer RNA is filed under the name Streptococcus sobrinus. RNAcentral describes it as "tRNA-His". It matches the Rfam family "tRNA". From Rfam's summary of the family: Transfer RNA (tRNA) molecules are approximately 80 nucleotides in length. Their secondary structure includes four short double-helical elements and three loops (D, anti-codon, and T loops). Further hydrogen bonds mediate the characteristic L-shaped molecular structure. tRNAs have two regions of fundamental functional importance: the anti-codon, which is responsible for specific mRNA codon recognition, and the 3' end, to which the tRNAs corresponding amino acid is attached (by aminoacyl-tRNA synthetases). tRNAs cope with the degeneracy of the genetic code in two manners: having more than one tRNA (with a specific anti-codon) for a particular amino acid; and 'wobble' base-pairing, i.e. permitting non-standard base-pairing at the 3rd anti-codon position. Lineage: Bacteria; Bacillati; Bacillota; Bacilli; Lactobacillales; Streptococcaceae. The record is from RNAcentral. RNAcentral also lists the same sequence under 9 other names.
GCGAAUGUGGUGAAGUGGUUAACACACCAGAUUGUGGCUCUGGCAUGCGUGGGUUCGAUCCCCAUCAUUCGCC